RNAcentral lists this small nuclear RNA (277 nucleotides) under Saimiri boliviensis boliviensis (Bolivian squirrel monkey). RNAcentral describes it as "7SK RNA (ENSSBOG00000007183.1)". It matches the Rfam family "7SK RNA". From Rfam's summary of the family: 7SK was discovered as an abundant small nuclear RNA in the mid-70s but a possible function has only recently been suggested. Lineage: Eukaryota; Metazoa; Chordata; Mammalia; Primates; Cebidae. The record is from Rfam by way of RNAcentral.
GGAUAUGAAGGCAAUCUGGCUGCCAUAUCUGUCACCCAGCAUUGCCAGGUUGAGCUGGCUAGGGAGGUGUCCCUUACCUCCCUCACUGCUCCACGUGUGUCCCUCUGAAGCUACACACAUGGUCAAAGAGGACAACCUUCCCCAGCAGAAGAGGACCAUUCUUCAUUCACAGGUAUACAUGUAGGUAGCUGCGCUCCCUGCUGGAAGCUCUCAAGAUGUGGUGUUUUAUUUGUUACCAUGGCAGAGCCUAACCUUUCCUAAUGCCUGGGCUGAAGGG